This 253-nucleotide ribosomal RNA is filed under the name uncultured bacterium. Its description in RNAcentral is "partial 16S ribosomal RNA". It matches the Rfam family "Bacterial small subunit ribosomal RNA", at positions 524 to 776 of the family's 1533-position model. The record is from RNAcentral.
UACGGAAGGGGCAAGCGUUGUUCGGAAUUAUUGGGCGUAAAGCGCGUGUAGGCGGCUUUGCAAGUCGGGUGUGAAAUCCCUCAGCUUAACUGAGGAAGUGCGCCCGAAACUGCCGAGCUUGAGUACCGGAGAGGGUGGCGGAAUUCCCCAAGUAGAGGUGAAAUUCGUAGAUAUGGGGAGGAACACCGGUGGCGAAGGCGGCCACCUGGACGGAUACUGACGCUGAGACGCGAAAGCGUGGGGAGCAAACAGG